UGAGAUGCUGGCUGGUUAUCCUCCUUUUUGUUCUGAUGAUCCAAGGAUGACUUUUCGCAAGAUAAUAAAUUGGAGAACUUGCCUGAAAUUUCCCGAGGAACCAAGAAUUUCAGAGGAAGCUAAGGACCUGAUCAGCCACUUGCUUUGUGAUGUUGAAACAAGGUUGGGAACACGAGGAGUAGAAGAAAUAAAGGCACAUCCAUGGUUCAAAGG
This 213-nucleotide unclassified non-coding RNA is filed under the name Hevea brasiliensis (rubber tree). Lineage: Eukaryota; Viridiplantae; Streptophyta; Magnoliopsida; Malpighiales; Euphorbiaceae. The record is from RNAcentral.